ACACAAAAGGCCAAAGGUGCACGAUUCUCCUCGGGGCUCCUUCCUCUCCGCUCCCUUCCCAACCAAGAAGGACACGCAGAACUUUGCUGGAGAGAUCAAUGUUUCUAGAACACCCUGAAACAAAAGUCCUGAUAUGUGCAAAUAAUACACACCCACAAAAGAAAAUAACCUCUUUGCGCUGACACCCUGCCUCUCCGAAGAGGACGUUUUCUCCCUACUUGGAAUUUCCAUCAGCACCUGGGUUGGUACCAAACUCAGGACGUGGUGGACACGCUCUCUGACUCUGUAUUUCAGGAAGCUGCCAAUCAAUAGAGAUUUAAAGCUUCUGACUUCCGCAUAUCCGAAUACCAGGUAGGAAACAUCUGCUUUGGAGUAAGAGAAGGCCCCAGUACCUGCUUUUUCUCCGGAACCGUGAGAGGGAGCCAUGGGGAGGAGACCAGAAUUUCAGCCUUCCUAUCUCCCUUUACCACAAGGACGCCUUGAGGACCCAAGUCAAAUUGAGAUCUUUCAACCACGGGCUCGGAAACCCGCUUUCUGUGUCCACUUCAACCAAACACGUCUAACAGGCAGGAAUUUAGAGGUGGCCAAGGUAACGAGAACUAGUGGUUUUCACCCUGUUUGGUGACCUUCAUAGGGCUUAUUUAUGCACUUCAAGCGCAUGACCUAAUACAUGUUGGUUUGGCUUCUCUUCUCGUAAUAGCAGCCUGUAAAAAGCUUUUGAGAAUUCCCCGUGUUUUCUCAUUUUGGGUCAAGAAAAUAAAAUCGAUAUCUAAGUAACCUUAAAAAAAUGGCCUGCACAAUCUAAAAAUUUGGAAUGUUUCCACUAGGACUAAGGAUAUCUCUGAAAGCCUCAAAGAUCAUCAAAAUGAAGUCCAACAUUUGCUGUUUUUAAGAUGUUUAAAUUGGCAUUGCGGCGCGUCUAAGUUCCUGUUUUAGAUUUCUGCAUAUAUCUGAAGGCAGAGGCAGACUUUUCAAAAAUGCACGAGCAGGCACAACUGUGUUCUGACUACUAUCAUCCAAAGGCGAUGACAGCGCUGACGAAGCCCCUGGAUCCUGCCAAAGUUUGUCCCAAAGACGAGUCUCUCAGCCCCCACUGACCCGCAGCCUGCUGGUUCCAGAUUCAGGCAACCAGUGGCCUCCCUUAACGUUCAAAGAGGCAAAGAUAAAUCAUUCCAGCUACCUGACUCUCGGCACCACCUGUUCCAAAUUAUUCUUUGCUCUCCAAAUGUUUAAAAUCUAACCCGAAACAACACCCACCCAUAGCGAUCCAGCACCUUCCGGUAAACUUGACUUGGGCUGCGCCUACCGUAAUGUUUUAGGGCCUCUCCACUGCCGGUAAAUUUAUUGACUCUUUUUAGGACCUGAAAUGCGUAGUGUUAGUAUCGAAGGAAUAAAUCAAAUUAGCCCUUAAAUAAA
Molecule: long non-coding RNA, 1416 nt
Filed under: Homo sapiens (human)
Lineage: Eukaryota; Metazoa; Chordata; Mammalia; Primates; Hominidae
Description: non-protein coding lnc-TP53RK-1:2
Source: RNAcentral